This 254-nucleotide ribosomal RNA is filed under the name uncultured bacterium. Its description in RNAcentral is "partial 16S ribosomal RNA". It matches the Rfam family "Bacterial small subunit ribosomal RNA", at positions 524 to 776 of the family's 1533-position model. The record is from RNAcentral.
GACGGAGGGUGCAAGCGUUAUUCGGAUUCACUGGGCGUAAAGCGCGCGUAGGCGGCCUGGUAAGUCUGAUGUGGAAGCCCCCGACUCAAUCGGGGAAGUGCAUUGGAUACUGCUAGUGCUGGAGUGCAGGAGAGGAGAACGGAAUUCCAGGUGUAGAGGUGAAAUUCGUAGAUAUCUGGAGGAACAACAGAAGCGAAGGCGGUUCUCUGGACUGUUACUGACGCUGAGGCGCGAAAGUGUGGGGAGCAAACAGG